UAAUUUGUUUGAGAUAAAUACUUAUUUAGUUAUGUUAAACUCACACCUGACUACUCAGAAUCACUCACUGUUGUGUGAACAAUAACUUUUAAAGAUUUUAAUUGGAGA
Non-coding RNA from Populus trichocarpa (black cottonwood), 108 nucleotides. NCBI's taxonomy places the organism in Eukaryota, Viridiplantae, Streptophyta, Magnoliopsida, Malpighiales, Salicaceae. The record is from Rfam.